AGUAAAAUAUACAAUUAUUGGACGCAGACGUCCGGGUUUCGUGACAGGCGAGCCGUUUCAUUAAACUUGGUUCGUUGUCGACGAAACCUGCACGAUCUAUGACCGCAUCAAC
Molecule: microRNA precursor, 112 nt
Filed under: Polistes canadensis
Lineage: Eukaryota; Metazoa; Arthropoda; Insecta; Hymenoptera; Vespidae
Description: microRNA pca-mir-981 precursor
Gene: pca-mir-981
Rfam family: mir-981 microRNA precursor family (bases 22-102)
Source: miRBase by way of RNAcentral